AUUGAACGCUGGCGGCAUGCCUUACACAUGCAAGUCGAGCGGCAGCGCGGGGGCAACCCUGGCGGCGAGCGGCGAACGGGUGAGUAAUGCAUCGGAACGUGUCCUUUUGUGGGGGAUAACCAGUCGAAAGACUGGCUAAUACCGCAUGAGCUCGAGAGAGGAAAGCAGGGGACCCGAGGGUAACUUCGGGCCUUGCGCGAGAGGAGCGGCCGAUGCCCGAUUAGCAGUUGGUGAGGUAACGGCUCACCAAGGCGACGAUCGGUAGCUGGUUUGAGAGAACGACCAGCCACACUGGGACUGAGACACGGCCCAGACUCCUACGGGAGGCAGCAGUGGGAAUUUUGGACAAUGGGGGCAACCCUGAUCCAGCCAUGCCGCGUGUGUGAAGAAGGCCU
RNAcentral lists this ribosomal RNA (395 nucleotides) under uncultured bacterium. Its description in RNAcentral is "bacterial SSU rRNA". It matches the Rfam family "Bacterial small subunit ribosomal RNA", at positions 29 to 417 of the family's 1533-position model. The record is from RNAcentral.